Molecule: ribosomal RNA, 491 nt
Filed under: uncultured bacterium
Lineage: Bacteria
Description: partial 16S ribosomal RNA
Rfam family: Bacterial small subunit ribosomal RNA
Source: RNAcentral
AGUGAACGCUGGCGGUAGGCCUAACACAUGCAAGUCGAACGGCAGCACAGUAAGAGCUUGCUCUUACGGGUGGCGAGUGGCGGACGGGUGAGGAAUACAUCGGAAUCUACUUUUUCGUGGGGGAUAACGUAGGGAAACUUACGCUAAUACCGCAUACGACCUACGGGUGAAAGCAGGGGAUCUUCGGACCUUGCGCGAUUGAAUGAGCCGAUGUCGGAUUAGCUAGUUGGCGGGGUAAAGGCCCACCAAGGCGACGAUCCGUAGCUGGUCUGAGAGGAUGACACACCACACGGAAAAAGAGAGACGGACCAGCCCCCUAGGGGGGCAAGCAGUGGGAAUUGUGGAACAGGGGGCGCAGGUUGCAACAACCCUUCCGGGGGGGGUAAAAACGGCCUGGGGUUGUAAAACCCUUUUGUUGGGAAAAAAAAAGAAACGGGUAACUCCCCGUUUGUUAGGACGGUACCAAAAGAAGACGCCGCAGCUGCCUUCGU